Molecule: long non-coding RNA, 1570 nt
Organism: Cucumis melo (muskmelon)
Lineage: Eukaryota; Viridiplantae; Streptophyta; Magnoliopsida; Cucurbitales; Cucurbitaceae
Exons: 8
Source: RefSeq, a predicted model, not a curated record
AGUUAGUGAAGAUAUAAAUCUUACUAAACGAAACGCAUGGACACUUUCUUUGACACCUUUUUAUAUGGGUUCUUAGACUCGAACGAAUUUAUCAUUUAAGAUCUCAGGUGUUUGAGGCUCUCAAGGUCACUAUUUGAAAGAUACACUCAACCUUGGGCUAGUUCAAGCAAGCACAGUUACUCUGGUACCUUAAACCUCUUCACGCGUUUUUCGGCUGAAUGCACGAUUCACCAAAAUUAAGCUGCAAGCACACCCAACACCGAAACUUCUCCCUGCCAUUUAACAUUCAUUCAUAAGAGAUUGGAAAGAUUGCAGACAGAAUAUCAGAGGUGAAGAGAUUUAAGAAGAAUGCAAGAAUGGUUGUGGGGAAUUUAGAAUGGAGGCUGUGGGUUAUAAGGAAUUUGAGGCCAUGAGUUUCAAAAUUCCUCAGUUAGAUUAUUCUUCCAACGAUGUAUAUGGUGAAACGAGAUGGUCGUCAAGAAGCAGUGCAUUUCGACAAGAUCACUGCCCGUCUGAAGAAACUAAGUUAUGGCCUCAACAUCGAUCAAUGUGAUCCAGUUUUGGUCUCCCAGAUAGUCUGUGUUGGAGUUUACAAGGGCAUACCACUAGCCAGCUUGAUGAAUUGGCCGUUGAAAUGGUUACUUGCAAAUUUAUCCGUGGGAUUGGUAAUUGAUAGCCUUGAAACUGAAAAGGGCCUACAGUCAUGCAUUUUGUUGUUUUUACUUGUUAGUUCGACACUCAACAAUAAUUGCCAAAUUGUUGAUUGUGCAUGGUAGCCUAAAUCUUGAAUUGCUUUGCAAUGUUGUAUGAUCAAGUGAAACUUUAUGUUAUAUAAGUUUCUUUGGGCCAGUUUGAUAAGAGUUUGAAUUGGGUUUCAAAUUCAAAUGGUUCGCUUAGGAUAGAAAAUGCAAGUGUUUAUCUACAAAUUUUACGUGUGGUCAGUUUCAGGCAAAACUCGUAUACUUUUACUUGGUUCUUAGCGAGCAGAGCAGAGCGCACAAAAGUCGACCAUAACUUUUGAAGAAUUAGCAAAAGUUGAAGUGAGCGACUAAACAUUUUACUUGGUGCUUACUUUCUCAUCAUGAUGGAUAACAGAGUCAAGAAUGCCUCUCUAUAAUAGCUAUUGCUUUAGCUAAAGAAGGAAGCGCAUAUCAAGCAACUGGUUGCUAUAAUUUGCUAUGUUCUGGAAUCAAUAAUGAAAUAACAAUGGAUGCUAGAAUUUUUCCUAUUUCUUCGUACAAAAGUUCUCAAUGUGACGUUUGCUUGCUCAUUUGGAAGUGCAAGUUGGCUUUGAGGUGGUCGAGUGUGCAUAUAUGAUGAAGCUGGAUGGACUAAAGGACUUCUACAUCCAUGUUGGUAGGCCUUUGUACUAGAAAUAUGGUCAUGCUUUUGAGGCAUUCAAGAUCACCAUAACUCACUCUGACUCUGUGUUGAAUUCUCUCAUUCGUGAAGUCAAUGGAGCUGGUCCUGAUGGUCAGGAUGUAGCCUUGGUCCUUACAAAUUGAGGUGCUAUUCUCUCAAAGUUGGUUGUCCCUAACUGUGUAUGGUAUGCAUUAUAUUUAAUUUCUUU